AGUCGACGAUUAAGCACCUUCGGGUGUGUAUAGAGUGGCGAACGGGUGAGUAACACGUGACCAACCUGCCUCUUACAUUGGGACAACCAAAAGAAAUUCUGGCUAAUACCAAAUACUCCACACAUAUCACAUGAUGUAUGCGGGAAAGCUUUUGCGGUAAGAGAUGGGGUCGCGGCCCAUUAGGUAGACGGCGGGGUAGAAGCCCACCGUGCCGAUGAUGGGUAGCCGGGUUGAGAGACCGACCGGCCACAUUGGGACUGAGAUACGGCCCAGACUCCUACGGGAGGCAGCAGUGGGGAAUAUUGCGCAAUGGGGGAAACCCUGACGCAGCAACGCCGCGUGCGGGAUGAAGGCCUUCGGGUUGUAAACCGCUUUCAGCAGGGAAGACAUCGACGGUACCUGCAGAAGAAGCCCCGGCUAACUACGUGCCAGCAGCCGCGGUAAUACGUAGGGGGCGAGCGUUAUCCGGAUUCAUUGGGCGUAAAGCGCGCGCAGGCGGUUGCUCAAGCGGAACCUCUAAUCUCGGGGCUUAACCUCGAGCCGGGUUCCGAACUGGACGACUCGAGUGCGGUAGAGGCAGAUGGAAUUCCCGGUGUAGCGGUGGAAUGCGCAGAUAUCGGGAAGAACACCAACGGCGAAGGCAGUCUGCUGGGCCGUCACUGACGCUGAGGCGCGAAAGCUGGGGGAGCGAACAGGAUUAGAUACCCUGGUAGUCCCAGCCGUAAACGAUGAGCGCUGGGUGUGGGAGAUUACAUCUUCCGUGCCGAAGCUAACGCAUUAAGCGCUCCGCCUGGGGAGUACGGCCGCAAGGCUAAAACUCAAAGGAAUUGACGGGGGCCCGCACAAGCAGCGGAGCAUGUGGCU
This 864-nucleotide ribosomal RNA is filed under the name uncultured bacterium. Its description in RNAcentral is "bacterial SSU rRNA". It matches the Rfam family "Bacterial small subunit ribosomal RNA", at positions 60 to 946 of the family's 1533-position model. The record is from RNAcentral.